UACGUAGGGUGCGAGCGUUGUCCGGAAUUAUUGGGCGUAAAGGGCUCGUAGGCGGUUUGUCGCGUCGGGAGUGAAAUCCACUGGCUUAACUGGUGGCUUGCUUUCGAUACGGGCAGACUGGAGGUAUGCAGGGGAGACUGGAAUUCCUGGUGUAGCGGUGAAAUGCGCAGAUAUCAGGAGGAACACCGGUGGCGAAGGCGGGUCUCUGGGCAGUAACUGACGCUGAGGAGCGAAAGCGUGGGGAGCGAACAGG
This 253-nucleotide ribosomal RNA is filed under the name uncultured bacterium. RNAcentral describes it as "partial 16S ribosomal RNA". It matches the Rfam family "Bacterial small subunit ribosomal RNA", at positions 524 to 776 of the family's 1533-position model. The record is from RNAcentral.